RNAcentral lists this ribosomal RNA (640 nucleotides) under Alteromonas sp. RNAcentral's name for it is "bacterial SSU rRNA". It matches the Rfam family "Bacterial small subunit ribosomal RNA", at positions 29 to 666 of the family's 1533-position model. Lineage: Bacteria; Pseudomonadati; Pseudomonadota; Gammaproteobacteria; Alteromonadales; Alteromonadaceae. The record is from RNAcentral.
UUGAACGCUGGCGGCAGGCCUAACACAUGCAAGUCGAACGGUAACAUUUCUACCUUGCUAGAAGAUGACGAGUGGCGGACGGGUGAGUAAUGGUUGGGAACUUGCCUUUGCGAGGGGGAUAACAGUUGGAAACGACUGCUAAUAACGCAUAAUGUCUUCGGACCAAACGGGGCUUCGGCUCCGGCUCAAAGAGAGGCCCAAGUGAGAUUAGCUAGUUGGUAAGGUAACGGCUUACCAAGGCGACGAUCUCUAGCUGUUCUGAGAGGUAGAUCAGCCACACUGGGACUGAGACACGGCCCAGACUCCUACGGGAGGCAGCAGUGGGGAAUAUUGCACAAUGGGGGAAACCCUGAUGCAGCCAUGCCGCGUGUGUGAAGAAGGCCUUCGGGUUGUAAAGUACUUUCAGUUGUGACGAAAAGUUAGUAGUUAAUACCUGCUAGCCGUGACGUUAACAACAGAAGAAGCACCGGCUAACUCCGUGCCAGCAGCCGCGGUAAUACGGAGGGUGCGAGCGUUAAUCGGAAUUACUCGGCGUAAAGCGCACGCAGGCGGUUUGUUAAGCUAGAUGUGAAAGCCCCGGGCUCAACCUGGGAUGGUCAUUUAGAACUGGCAGACUAGAGUCUUGGAGAGGGGAGUGGAA